UUGAUCCUGGCUCAGAUUGAACGCUGGCGGCAUGCUUUACACAUGCAAGUCGAACGGCAGCGGGGGCUUCGGCCUGCCGGCGAGUGGCGAACGGGUGAGUAAUGCAUCGGAACGUGCCCAUGUCGUGGGGGAUAACGUAUCGAAAGGUACGCUAAUACCGCAUACGCCCUGAGGGGGAAAGCGGGGGAUUCUUCGGAACCUCGCGCGAUUGGAGCGGCCGAUGUCGGAUUAGCUAGUAGGUGAGGUAAAGGCUCACCUAGGCGACGAUCCGUAGCGGGUCUGAGAGGAUGAUCCGCCACACUGGGACUGAGACACGGCCCAGACUCCUACGGGAGGCAGCAGUGGGGAAUUUUGGACAAUGGGCGCAAGCCUGAUCCAGCCAUGCCGCGUGAGUGAAGAAGGCCUUCGGGUUGUAAAGCUCUUUCGGCCGGGAAGAAAUCG
This 441-nucleotide ribosomal RNA is filed under the name Thauera sp. R-28213. RNAcentral's name for it is "bacterial SSU rRNA". It matches the Rfam family "Bacterial small subunit ribosomal RNA", at positions 13 to 453 of the family's 1533-position model. Lineage: Bacteria; Pseudomonadati; Pseudomonadota; Betaproteobacteria; Rhodocyclales; Zoogloeaceae. The record is from RNAcentral.